RNAcentral lists this unclassified non-coding RNA (229 nucleotides) under plant metagenome. RNAcentral describes it as "partial contains small subunit ribosomal RNA, internal transcribed spacer 1, and 5.8S ribosomal RNA". The record is from RNAcentral.
UCUCCGUAGGUGAACCUGCGGAGGGAUCAUUACAGAGUUCAUGCCCUAUCGGGUAGAUCUCCCACCCUAUGUUAUUAUUACUUUGUUGCUUUGGCGGGCCGUUAGGCUCCGGCCCGACUACCGGCCCCGGCUGGUAAGCGCCCGCCAGAGGACCCAAAACCCUGAAUAUUAGUGUCGUCUGAGUACUAUAUAAUAGUUAAAACUUUCAACAACGGAUCUCUUGGUUCUG